UAUAUUUGAAAUAUUUUGAACAGAAGCAACCUCAGUCAUGAGAUAACUUUUCUUGAAAACUAGAUUUAUAAAUAAGAGAGCUGCCAAGAAAAUAUAGAUUAAUAAACCAGAUUGAAAUUUAUUAGUGAAUAUUCAAAUGAAGAACGAUUUCGGAAUUUCUUCCUGGGCAUGAGAUUGUUGGUGUGGUAACUCAAGUAGGAAACAAAGUGCAAAACUUCAAAGUAGAAGAUAAGGCAGGAUUGGAAGGUAUAAUAGGCUCAUGUGGCAGCUGUGAUCAGUGCCAAAAUGAGUUGGAAAACUAUUGCCCUAAAAGGAUCCACACCAGCACAAUCUUUGAUGAUGGUGGGGAUAAAAACUAUGGAGGAUUUUCUGUUAUUCGUCGUUAGAUCUGGUCACAUAUUUGCUUGGGUUGCAAAACUUUCUACCAUCUUUGUGUUUUGAGGUAAG
Molecule: long non-coding RNA, 447 nt
Organism: Pistacia vera
Lineage: Eukaryota; Viridiplantae; Streptophyta; Magnoliopsida; Sapindales; Anacardiaceae
Exons: 2
Source: RefSeq, a predicted model, not a curated record